AUCGUUUGUUCGACGGGUACAAUAAAUUUUCACUUGCAUUCGUUACAUAAUGUUUGGCGCAGUUUUGUUGGGCUUUACAGUUUUACAUUAUGGUUACCAUGAUAGUUGGCAGAAAAAAUGUGCUUCUGGGAAGUUGUAUUUAUUUACAACAGAUGUCGCCAUCUGGUAAACGUCAAAUUUAUGUCAUUUUUAGCGUCCUUUUUCAUUGUGUCGUUUAACUGUAAACAAAUCUGUUUUCAACGCGAACGAAAAUUAAGUGAAUUAGGUCAUUGAUAGCAUAAAACCAUAAAAAUUGAGCUUUGUAAAGUCAAAAAAGUUGAUUUUCUAGUUGGACGAAACAAACUUGUGUGAAUAGUGUAGUAUAGUAAACAGUGGACCUUUGUGAUAUACACAGUCUGAGAGUGCAGAGAAUUUUGUGAAUAUUGAUUUAUGAAGUGCUUCACUCUCUCCAGCAUCACCAGUCGCCGGUUUUCCAUAGUUUCUAUGUUGCUUUUGUCCGUUUCAUAUGAAUUUUGGAAUUGAGUCGGAUUCGAUUCAUUACUGUGAAGCUGAAUAUUUCGUCGACAACACUGCCACCACUUCAAAAUUAUCCAACCGGUUUCUAGCGCAUUUAACACAUCUAUUUAAACAAAAUGGAUGGUGCCCGUAGAUGGCAUGCUGCAAUGAGAUUUGACGAUCUAGACCUCCAACUACCGGAGGGAGUCAUAUACAUGGGUAUCGGGAUUGACCCACAAAUCGCUCCAAACGACGGUUACAAUCGUAGACGACCCAGGAGACGAAUUCCAAUUUAUUACGGCCGUAACUUUCAAGACAGACUUCCGACUACUGCAGAAUUAUCCGGCGAGCAUCCUUCACUACGUCGCUAGGAUGGAUAUGGACCUUCAACCAAUCUCAUCGACUGAUCGGCGCGACGAUGACAAUAUUGCGCAAAAGAAAAUGUUAUCGAUCGAGGUAAGACGUUUCCAUACGAUAUCGGUGUGUAAGACGAGGGUCAACUCAAAAUCGAUAAUUUUAUCCGAAAAGUAAGCAAAACAACAACGAUUUUGGUGUCUGAAUUUGUUUUUAUUUUACUGAACACAUUGAUUUGUUUUUUUGAAAAAAGAAAUAAAGAAAUUGGAUAAAAUU
Long non-coding RNA from Bradysia coprophila, 1125 nucleotides. NCBI's taxonomy places the organism in Eukaryota, Metazoa, Arthropoda, Insecta, Diptera, Sciaridae. The record is from RefSeq and is a predicted model, not a curated record.